This is a non-coding RNA of Bombyx mori (domestic silkworm), 83 nucleotides long. NCBI's taxonomy places the organism in Eukaryota, Metazoa, Arthropoda, Insecta, Lepidoptera, Bombycidae. The record is from Rfam.
CUAACUCAAAUUUGUAUGCAGUUAGAAAGUUAUCUACGUUUGCCGCUAGGGGCGCUGUUCCAAUUGCAUACAAAUUUAAGUUA